RNAcentral lists this ribosomal RNA (635 nucleotides) under uncultured Alphaproteobacteria bacterium. RNAcentral's name for it is "bacterial SSU rRNA". It matches the Rfam family "Bacterial small subunit ribosomal RNA", at positions 28 to 691 of the family's 1533-position model. The record is from RNAcentral. Lineage: Bacteria; Pseudomonadati; Pseudomonadota; Alphaproteobacteria.
AGCGAACGCUGGCGGCAUGCCUAACACAUGCAAGUCGAACGGAGGCUUCGGCCUCAGUGGCACGCACGGGUGAGUAACACGUGGGAACCUACCUUUCGGUUCGGAAUAACGUCUGGAAACGGCGACGCUAACACCGGAUACGCCCUUCGGGGGAAAGUUUACGCCGAGAGAUGGGCCCGCGUCGGGGAUUAGGUAGUUGGUGGGGUAACGGCCUACCAAGCCUGCGAUCCGUAGCUGGUCUGAGAGGCGAUGAUCAGCCACACUGGGACUGAGACACGGCCCAGACUCCUACGGGAGGCAGCAGUGGGUUGAAUAUUGGACAAUGGGCGCAAGCCUGAUCCAGCAAUGCCGCGUGAGUGAUGAAGGCCUUGUAGGGUUGUAAAGCUCUUUCGCACGCGACGAUGAUGACGGUAGCGUGAGAAGAAGCCCCGGCACUAACUUCGUGCCAGCAGCCGCGGUAAUACGAAGGGGGCUAGCGUUGUUCGGAAUUACUGCCGGCGUAAAGGGCGCGUAGGCGGCCUGUUCAGUCAGAAGUGAAAGCCCCGGGCUUAACCUGACGGAACUGCUUUUGAUACUGGCAGGCUUGAGUUCCGGAGAGGAUGGUGGAAUUCCCAGUGUGCAGAGGUGAAAUUCGU